This 253-nucleotide ribosomal RNA is filed under the name uncultured bacterium. RNAcentral describes it as "partial 16S ribosomal RNA". It matches the Rfam family "Bacterial small subunit ribosomal RNA", at positions 524 to 776 of the family's 1533-position model. The record is from RNAcentral.
UACGUAGGGUGCGAGCGUUGUCCGGAAUUAUUGGGCGUAAAGAGCUCGUAGGCGGCUUGUCACGUCGGCUGUGAAAACCCGGGGCUCAACCCCGGGCCUGCAGUCGAUACGGGCAGGCUAGAGUUCGGUAGGGGAGACUGGAAUUCCCGGUGUAGCGGUGAAAUGCGCAGAUAUCGGGAGGAACACCGGUGGCGAAGGCGGGUCUCUGGGCCGAAACUGACGCUGAGGAGCGAAAGCGUGGGGAGCAAACAGG